This 484-nucleotide ribosomal RNA is filed under the name uncultured bacterium. Its description in RNAcentral is "partial 16S ribosomal RNA". It matches the Rfam family "Bacterial small subunit ribosomal RNA", at positions 30 to 507 of the family's 1533-position model. The record is from RNAcentral.
AUUGAACGCUGGCGGCAGGCCUAACACAUGCAAGUCGAGCGGAUGAAGGGAGCUUGCUCCUGGAUUCAGCGGCGGACGGGUGAGUAAUGCCUAGGAAUCUGCCUGGUAGUGGGGGAUAACGUCCGGAAACGGGCGCUAAUACCGCAUACGUCCUGAGGGAGAAAGUGGGGGAUCUUCGGACCUCACGCUAUCAGAUGAGCCUAGGUCGGAUUAGCUAGUUGGUGGGGUAAAGGCCUACCAAGGCGACGAUCCGUAACUGGCCUGAGAGGAUGAUCAGUCACACUGGAACUGAGACACGGUCCAGACUCCUACGGGAGGCAGCAGUGGGGAAUAUUGGACAAUGGGCGAAAGCCUGAUCCAGCCAUGCCGCGUGUGUGAAGAAGGUCUUCGGAUUGUAAAGCACUUUAAGUGGGGAGGAAGGGCAGUAAGUUAAUACCUUGCUGUUUUGACGUUACCAACAGAAUAAGCACCGGCUAACUUCGUG